Molecule: long non-coding RNA, 395 nt
Organism: Balaenoptera ricei (Rice's whale)
Lineage: Eukaryota; Metazoa; Chordata; Mammalia; Artiodactyla; Balaenopteridae
Exons: 3
Source: RefSeq, a predicted model, not a curated record
CAUGCAGCUGCGUCCAGGUUCUCCAGAGCCGCAGCUCUCUCGAACCCAGGGUUCACUCUGGAUAUCUUCACGGAUGUUUCAGCUCCGGCCACGUUUAGGGGAAGAACUAACAAAGAAGGAAACCGAGGCACCUUAGGAAGAAGCGUGUGCCCCCUGCUCACACAAGCGAUCUGCAAAAUCCGAGAGCACAUCUGGAGACCUGGGUGAUGCCCAAUUGAUUCAAGUUAAUGUCGUCUCCCGUCUGAUCACAUGUUGGUCCCGAGAACAAUGAAUAGGAGCCCAGCACACGCUGGUGUGACAAGAGGACUCGCCGAAGUCAUCCUCCCGGAGUGAGGGACAAAUCAGCGCAGAGGUGCAGCCUGCUUCUCCUUUUAGAGCCAAAUAAAGACAAUUUU